AAAUAUGAUGUUGAUUAUAUUCUUAAUAGUAGUGAUAGAAAAAAGGCUGACAAAUUAGCAGAAAUGCUUAACUUAGAAAUAGUAGGUUUCAUGUAUGCUUAUCCUUACAUUGGAAUAGAUUUAAAUGAAUAUAAUAAAAGAAAAAAAACUUUUAUUAAAUUGAGUAAAAACAUAGAAAAGCUUAACGAUGAAGAAAAUGAGGUGUUCAUACCUAUGGGAGGAAAGGAAGUCUUACUAUCUCUAUUAAUAAUGAAGCAAUUGGAUGAAAAAAUUAAAAAUGGUGAUUUGAAAAAGAAAGAGAUGGUAGGGGGUCAGUUGGGUACGGAAAUGACAAAUAAUAAAGUGGAAAAUGGACAUAUUGAAAAUAAUAAAGGGGAAGAAAAGGGGGAGAUAACAAAAAAAUUAAGUAGUGAUAAUAAUAAUAACAAAAAAAUAUCAAAAAUUUACACAAUAAGUGAAGAAUACGCAAAAAAAAAAAAAUGUUCAAAAAAAAAAAACGCACAUAUAAAACCAUUUAUUACGUUGUCUGUUGGUAUGAAUGAAAAUUGCGAAUCUAUAGUUGUCGAAGCAUAUGAAAUUAAUUAUGAUUUAAUUAAAUUAAUAAACAAUGAUAUGAUAAAAUGUAUGGACAAACAAAACAGUAUAUUACAAUUUGAAAAAAAUAAAAACGAAAAAGAAAUGAAAAUAAAAAAUUUUAAUAAUGAAAUAGACCUUAUGAAUGAAUUAUAUCUAAAAUGUAAACAUAACAUUUAUAUUAAAAAAUUUGAAUUAAAAAAAAUUGACGUAUUGUUUUGUAUAAAUAAUGUCCCUAUAUUCUCUCAUAAAAGCUAUUAUAAUUAUUUGUUCCCUUAUCCAAAUAAUACUAACUAUUAUGAUAUUUUACAAAAAUUUAAUUACAUGAUAAAAACAAUCAAAAAUAAAAAGGAUAUAAACCAUGUUUUUCGAGAUUUUAAUUUCCUUUUUUUUUUAACUAACAUAUUUUCAAUUGAAAAUGACAUACCCUACAUUUGCAAAGCUCUAAAUGAGCCGAAUAAUUCUAUUCACAUACCAGAUUAUUAUAUAUACGUUUUAAAGAACUUGUCUAAAAAUGUAAAUACAAUCAUUUGAAUGGGUUUAGUAAAUGUGUUUAGUAAAUGUGUUUAGUAAAUGUGUUUAGUAAAUGUGUUUAGUGAAUGUGUUUAGUAAAUGUGUUUAGUGAAUGUGUUUAGUGAAUGUGUUUAGUGAAUGUGUUUAGUGAAUGGAUAUAGGAACGGAAAAAGUAAACAAAUUAAAUUAUUAAAUAAAUAA
This 1287-nucleotide long non-coding RNA is filed under the name Piliocolobus tephrosceles (Ugandan red Colobus). RNAcentral's name for it is "lncRNA (ENSPTEG00000038583.1)". Lineage: Eukaryota; Metazoa; Chordata; Mammalia; Primates; Cercopithecidae. The record is from RNAcentral.